This 465-nucleotide ribosomal RNA is filed under the name uncultured bacterium. RNAcentral describes it as "partial 16S ribosomal RNA". It matches the Rfam family "Bacterial small subunit ribosomal RNA", at positions 28 to 507 of the family's 1533-position model. The record is from RNAcentral.
GACGAACGCUGGCGGCGUGCUUAACACAUGCAAGUCGAACGGAAAGGCCCUGCUUGCAGGGUACUCGAGUGGCGAACGGGUGAGUAACACGUGGGUGAUCUGCCCUGCACUUCGGGAUAAGCCUGGGAAACUGGGUCUAAUACCGGAUAGGAGCCAUUUUUAGUGUGAUGGUUGGAAAGUUUUUUCGGUGUAGGAUGAGCUCGCGGCCUAUCAGCUUGUUGGUGGGGUAAUGGCCUACCAAGGCGGCGACGGGUAGCCGGCCUGAGAGGGUGGACGGCCACUUUGGGACUGAGAUACGGCCCAGACUCCUACGGGAGGCAGCAGUGGGGAAUAUUGCACAAUGGGCGCAAGCCUGAUGCAGCGACGCCGCGUGGGGGAUGACGGCCUUCGGGUUGUAAACUCCUUUCGCUAGGGACGAAGCUUUUUGUGACGGUACCUAGAUAAGAAGCACCGGCUAACUACGUG